CACGUCUCCACUCCUCGCGUCCACGUCCGCAGUCCCCAUCCUCUCGCAGUGGCGACUCCUUUCCCGUCGCCGGUGUCCCGUCGCCGCCGCUCCCCUACCCGUCCCCUUCUCCUCCUACUCCUCUCUGACGCGCCUUAACACCACGCGUCGCCUCCGCUCGCCAUCCCCGUCCCCUUCUCCUCCUCUCCGCCAUAACCAGAACAUCUCCAACUCCACACCAACUCUGGAUCCGUGAGAAAGAUUGAUUUUUUUCGACAUUUUUCACGAAUCCGGUGGCGAUGAUGCGAGAUCAGGUGGCGGCUGCCUCGAAUCCCCCUUGGUUGGAGUCAGCAGCGACCAGGGGGAGCGGCGCGGCGAGGUUGCCGCUGCUGCUGUGGACCUUGCUGUCGAGCGUCUCGGGCACGCGCCGCACGCUGCCCUUGUCCUCGGCGACGGCUGCGGGCGUGGCGGGCGGCUGCGAGACGGUGGUGCUGCGGCUUGUCGGUGGCGGCGACGAGGAUGGCCUUCUCGACCACCUCGCAGAUGCCGGCGCCCGCGCCCCGGAAGAAUUCGCGCCACCGGUCCAGCCCGUCCGCCAUGGCCGCCGCCGCCGGCAUGGCCAUCGGGAUCAUCGGGGACGCAGGGGUCAGAAUGUUGUUGGUGGUGGUGCUGUGUACUCGUAGAUGGUGGUGGCUGAAUGCAGUAAGGGUUCAUUCUUGGUCAGUAGGAUAAUGGUAUGCUAGUACGGAGAGAACAUCAACCGCAAUGAAUUUAAUGAGGCAUGAUACUUCUGUUUUUGAAGAAAAAGCAAAUCAUCCCAUACUGUAUCUGAAAUUCUAAAUGUAGCCUACAGUAUGAGUUCAUUAUCAUAGAAUGGACAUGCUAGUGCUGGCUUAAUUAAUUGGUGUGAGAUUUCAUUAUCAUAGUCCUUCGUUAAGGGUCCUCAUGAGUUAUGCCCCAAUUACACUGUCUAAAAGGAUUUUUUACAUUCCAAGCUGAGCUUCUUCAGUUUUAGUUCAUGCCCAAGAUGAGCAAAUGUCACACUUUACAAGUUUGUUGUCUAUUGAUGAUUCUUACGGUGCUCAAACGGUUUGACAUUUAUAGUACGAGUAUGAAACAAAGAAAUUCACCUGUUCAGUGUUUUUCGUCCUCAUUUUUAACAGAUUCGACUGAAACUUUCAGCUAGCAAGUUAGUUAAAUAGCGUCUGUGUGUUAAGUUUCAACAUGAGCUUAGCAAUACCACCGUGAAUUGUUCUAGAUGAUCCACACAGUAGCAUAAAUAAUGGCCGUAGAUGAAUUGUUGUAGAUGAUCCAUAAAUAACUUAAAACAACGGAGUAUUGCAUAACUUAAAACAAACUCGGGGUGAGAAGAUCCAAAACGGAGGACGUAUCGAUCGAAUGGCAGCUGCUUGGCUGUUCCGCCUGUUUGUUGAUCAUGGAACUGAUGGUUUGUAGUGGUACUACUGCAAUACUACCACACCACUUUCCUCACAACAGCACCCAUUGCGGAUCAUGCUCGAUGUUUGUGGUGGUACUUUGUGAUUUGUUCUCCUCACACUCUGUGAUUUUUGCUUCUGACGAGUCAUUGCAAGUUCAUUACUGGCAACCACCUCUUAUAAAGCAAUAUUUUGGUGUUAAAAGGAUGUACGGACAAAAUACUUCCGUACCCUCAUAAUUUCUGUUGGUUGCUUCACACCACAUUAUAUUCUUAACAUUCAACAACUGCCAUAUGGUUCAGCACCUCACAAUCCCUUCAUGGUGAACAUAUCUUGCUUGCACUCCUACUAUGAAUAUUUUUUACAGAGUACUCCUAAUAUGAAUAUUUUGAGACUGAUGUUGUACUAGUCCUUCCACUAGUACAGCACAUGAUGUACUCCACAUAACUUAAAACUACGGAGUAUUUGACUGUUGCAUAUAUACAGCAGGUUCCACAUAACUUAAAACUACGGAGUAUUGCAUAACUUAAAACUACUCAAGAUGCUUCUUGUGCUGCUUCUGCUUUUUGUUUUGCUCUUGCUUCUGCCUCUUCUAUCAACUGCUUAAGCUGCUGUGCUUUUGCUUCUUUGCUGCUUGUGCUAUUCUCAAUAGCUUGUGCUUCUUCUAUAAUUUUUAAUGUAUCUGCAACUAGAUCAACCUUGCAAGUAAGAAAGAUAGGGAGUCUUCCUUCCUUUAUCCUUUUAUCUUUACCCAUGUGUUGGAUGUCAUAGCAAUUCCCUCCUUGCUUCUUCAUAGUCUCUCUCAAGCAUGUUUGCAAUGUUAGAAAGCUUUUAGAUAGCUUAUCCACCUCAUAGUUCUCAAAUUCUUCCUCCACUGCUUCAAUCAGUUCUCUAAUAUUUUUAGGUGCUCUGCAGUCGGUGAGAGAUUGAAUAGACCGAAAGAAGCAUAGAUCUAGAAUGUUCAUAUCAGGACUAUUAGGUGGUUGUUGCAGUAACACAAUGUUCAGGUCAGUUUGUGCAACAACUUGUAGGAAAAUAGGGUCGUUAGCCUUGAUGUGUGGGGUGGCAUUGUCUUGUUGUAUAUAGAUAGUUCUUCCUGCGUCCUCAUCUGGCCACUUGUCUAGUAUAGCAGGGAUUACUUUAUUGCACAUGAAAUCUCUCAUUACAUCUCUGUUAACUUUCAUUGAUUUGAGUUCAAGAGUACCCUUUUCCCUGUUUUCGCUUCUUCUAACAGCUGCUGUUUCAGUGACAAAUGGCCAUGUGCCUAUUUUUCCAUCAAAAGUGCAAACCUUUAUUCCAUCAACAAUGGCAAACCUUGGCUUAGCCACAGUAGUUAAAAACAUAACCUUCCCUAUACUGUUCUUAUUAUGCACUGUCCGAUAUGGGGUAGGCUCUCCAGGGACUAGAUAGUACACAUUGUUUUUCUGUGUCAAGUCAAACCAUUUUUCGUCGAUAUGGACAAAAUUGUCCAUUUCCUUGAAGAAAACACUCAUAUCUGUCAUUGUGCACUCUUGGAGCAUAAACAUACAGAACUUCAGUCUUUCAAUUCUGUUAGCUGGCUUUAGAGCUGGCUUCAAAGUGUUUGAGCAGCGAUUUAGUUCACCCCAUUCUAACCUUCUGUGCAAGGUUGUUCGAAUAACAUUGAGUUCCCUUGCUAGAGCUCUGACUGUUUUUCUUCUAUUCAAUGGGAUUGAGGUUACCCUGGAGAGCUCUAGAUCUUUUCUCUUACGUCCAACUCUGCCUUUUUCUUCGAUGAAACAUCUACUUCUUGCCCUGCUGCAAUUUGUUGUCGUGCUUCUUUCCAGAUUUUUUCAACUGUACUUAGACUUGUCUUUAAUAGACCAGCAACAAGCUCCUUGUCUUUUUUAUCCACCUUUCCAUCUCUGGUCUGUAUAAAUUGCAUUGCAAAGAAAGCUCCAAAUCUUGCUUGGUCUGAUAGGUCUUUUCCAGAUGGCUGCCCAACACCUCCUGCAUCAUUGACUACAUGGCCGUUAUCUUCUUCGAGUACUUCCACUUCAACAAUGAUGGAACUGCAUGACAAGAAGAACAGAUAAGUACUGAUGAUGAUGCUUGUGCAAAUCUGAUGAUGUUUAUGCUUAUGCUUGCUUGCAAUAUUUGAGUUACUCAAUUCUUAGUCUUAGUUUCUUGUGUUGAAAUUGUUAUACUCCAUGAAAGUAAAUUUGCUCUAUUGCUGUGAAGGCUUAUCGGUACUUGGUUAAUACUCCAUCGCCGCAAUUCAGGAGUACAAUGUGCCAUCUCCUGGUUCCUCACGCCCAUCUCCGGUGAGCUUUUGCGGUGGGGACUAAUCUUCUCGUGUAUUCGCAGUGGUUUGCCCAGCCAACGCCUCUCCGGUAAACUGUCGCCUGGCAUCGGCAACCUCACAAGACUGCAAUCUGUGCUAUUGCAGAACAACGCGAUUUCUGGCACUAUUCCUGCCACCAUAGGCAGGCUGGGGAUGCUAAAGACACUUGACAUGUCAGACAAUCAUCUUAUCCGGAGUUCAGUUGGGGAUCUCAAGAACUUUCAGAAUAUAACCUUGAUGAGCUGCCGCUGCCGGAUGAAGAUGAGCUGCCGCUGCCGGAUGAAGACGAGCUGCCGCUGCCAGAUGAAGACGAGCUGUCGGAUGAAGGACGUGGCGCUGGAGGCUGGCGAGCUUGAAUAAGGGGAGGCGGGCGGCGGAGCCAAUCUGAAGCAAGCGGUUCUCCAGGAGGGUGUCGACGAGGAGGAGGCGGAGGCGGGUGGCGGAGCUGUCGCUCCGGCAGCUGUCGAGCAGGACGGGCCCGAGAAGAAGCAGGUGGAGGAGGCUGUCGAGCAGGAGGGGGCCGAGGAGAAGCAGGCGGAGGCGGGUGGCGGUGUUGCCGCUCCAGCAGCUGUCUAGCAGGAGGUGUCUGAGGAGAACCAGGCGGAGGCGCGUGGUGGAGCUGCCGCUCCAGCAGCUGUCGAGCAGGAGGUGGGCGAGGAGAACCAGGUGGAGGUGCCUGGUGGAGCUGCCGCCCCAGCAGCUGUCGAGCAGGAGCUGGGGGAGGACAACCAGGCACAGGCGCGUGGUGGAGCUGCCGCUCCAGCAGGGUGGAGAGCAUGGCGUUGCUCCGGAGGCUGACGAUCGAUCGAUUCCAGCUGACGAUCGAAUCGAUCGUUCCAGCUCCAGAUUACAGGCAGAGGUGCCUGGUGGAGCUGCCGCUCCAGCAGCUGACGAUCGGGUGGUGGAGCUGCCGCUCCAGCUGACGAUCGAUCGAUCGAUUCCGUCUGGACGGCGAAUGGAUCUGGGACUGACCGAUCAGAUCUGGGAGUUCUUUUUUGUUAUGUUUUGAAAUAUGCAGGACUAGACUGUAAAAUGACAUCUGUGAAACGUUUUCCUCCCCCAAGUUAAUUAAAAAGGGACGGAGGGAUUAUAUUGUAAGAAAUAUGUUCUAGAGGCAAUCAAAGAGUUCAUUGAGUUCAUGCUAAUA
This is a non-coding RNA of Lolium perenne, 4864 nucleotides long. Lineage: Eukaryota; Viridiplantae; Streptophyta; Magnoliopsida; Poales; Poaceae. The record is from RefSeq and is a predicted model, not a curated record.